UAAUUGGGGGGUGGGAUGAAAGGUUUUAUGGGGAAUAGCUGUUUCAGAAUAAAUAAAUUGAAUUUAAGUUUUGCAUAAAAACUUGCAAAUGUUCUUGAGGGACGAGAAGACCCUGUGGAUUUUUAUUUGUUAAAAAAUAAAUUUUAUAAUAUUUUAUUUUUUAUCCAAAUUUGGUUGGGAUGACAAUAAAAUUAACUUUAUUCAGAGGAUAAUAAUUAGAUCCUUUUUAAGGAAAAAAGAACAAAUUACCCCAGGGAUAACAGCGUAAUACUUUUGGACAGGACAAAUGGAUAAAAGUGUUUGCGACUC
RNAcentral lists this ribosomal RNA (309 nucleotides) under Candona sp. 34a IK-2020. RNAcentral describes it as "partial large subunit ribosomal RNA". Lineage: Eukaryota; Metazoa; Arthropoda; Ostracoda; Podocopida; Candonidae. The record is from RNAcentral.